ACAUGCCAGGAACCCUGCGGAGAUGUGGGGGUGCUCGAAAGAGAGCCUGGACACAGGUGCUGCAUGGCUGUCGUCAGCUCGUGUCGUGAGAUGUUGGGUUAAGUCCCGCAACGAGCGCAACCCUUGUCAUUAGUUGCCAUCAUUUAGUUGGGCACUCUAAUGAGACUGCCGGUGACAAACCGGAGGAAGGUGGGGAUGACGUCAAGUCCUCAUGGCCCUUAUGGGUAGGGCUUCACACGUCAUACAAUGGUGCAUACAGAGGGUUCCCAACCCGCGAGGGGGAGCUAAUCUCAGAAAAUGCAUCGUAGUCCGGAUCGUAGUCUGCAACUCGACUACGUGAAGCUGGAAUCGCUAGUAAUCGCGGAUCAGAAUGUCGCGGUGAAUACGUUCCCGGGUCUUGUACACACCGCCCGUCAUACCAUGGGAGUGGGUUUUGCCAGAAGCCGUUAGCCUAACC
Molecule: ribosomal RNA, 457 nt
Filed under: uncultured beta proteobacterium
Lineage: Bacteria; Pseudomonadati; Pseudomonadota; Betaproteobacteria
Description: bacterial SSU rRNA
Rfam family: Bacterial small subunit ribosomal RNA
Source: RNAcentral